CCUACGGGUGGCAGCAGUAGGGAAUCUUCCACAAUGGGCGCAAGCCUGAUGGAGCAACACCGCGUGAGUGAAGACGGGUUUCGGCUCGUAAAGCUCUGUUGUUGGAGAAGAACGUGCGUGAGCGUAACUGUUCACGCAGUGACGGUAUCCAACCAGAAAGUCACGGCUAACUACGUGCCAGCAGCCGCGGUAAUACGUAGGUGGCUAGCGUUAUCCGGAUGUUUUGGGUGUAAAGGGAGCGCAGGCGGUUGCUUAGGUCUGAUGUGAAAGUCUUCGGCUUAACCGAAGAAGUGCAUCGGAUACCGGGCGACUUGAGUGCAGAUGAGGAAGGUGGAACUCCAUGUGUAGCGGUGGAAUGCGUAGAUAUAUGGAAGAACCCCAGUGGCGAAGGCGGCUGUCUGGUCUGCAACUGACGCUGAGGCUCGAAAGCAUGGGUAGCGAACAGGAUUAGAUACCCCUGUAGUC
Molecule: ribosomal RNA, 465 nt
Filed under: uncultured bacterium
Lineage: Bacteria
Description: partial 16S ribosomal RNA
Rfam family: Bacterial small subunit ribosomal RNA
Source: RNAcentral